AUUGAACGCUGGCGGCAUGCCUUACACAUGCAAGUCGAACGGCAGCACGGGUGCUUGCACCUGGUGGCGAGUGGCGAACGGGUGAGUAAUACAUCGGAACAUGUCCUGUAGUGGGGGAUAGCCCGGCGAAAGCCGGAUUAAUACCGCAUACGAUCUACGGAUGAAAGCGGGGGACCUUCGGGCCUCGCGCUAUAGGGUUGGCCGAUGGCUGAUUAGCUAGUUGGUGGGGUAAAGGCCUACCAAGGCGACGAUCAGUAGCUGGUCUGAGAGGACGACCAGCCACACUGGGUCUGAGACACGGCCCAGACUCCUACGGGAGGCAGCAGUGGGGAAUUUUGGACAAUGGGCGAAAGCCUGAUCCAGCAAUGCCGCGUGUGUGAAGAAGGCCUUCGGGUUGUAAAGCACUUUUGUCCGGAAAGAAAUCCUUGGCCCUAAUACGGUCGGGGGAUGACGGUACCGGAAGAAUAAGCACCGGCUAACUACGUG
RNAcentral lists this ribosomal RNA (486 nucleotides) under uncultured bacterium. Its description in RNAcentral is "partial 16S ribosomal RNA". It matches the Rfam family "Bacterial small subunit ribosomal RNA", at positions 30 to 507 of the family's 1533-position model. The record is from RNAcentral.